CAAAAACCUAAGAUAAUGAUAACAACAAUAAUAUUAACUUUAAUUUAAUAUAGCGCCUUUCAUGAAACCCAAGAAGACUUUACAGAAUUACAGUGGCUAUC
Long non-coding RNA from Etheostoma cragini (Arkansas darter), 101 nucleotides. RefSeq lists it as uncharacterized. The transcript has 3 exons. NCBI's taxonomy places the organism in Eukaryota, Metazoa, Chordata, Actinopteri, Perciformes, Percidae. The record is from RefSeq and is a predicted model, not a curated record.